UUUAAAUUAGGAUUUUAAAGUUUUUUGAAUUUGUUUUAAAAGUAAUUUUAUUAAAUAAAUUUAGGAUAUAAAGAAUAUUUUCUUUACCUUUUGUAUAAUGGUUUUAAGAUUUAAACUAAAUUUUUUGGUUUCACUAAAUAAGUAGAUAUACCCGCAAUAUUAAUUGAAUGUUUCAAUAUUCUUUUUUAUUUGCUGUGUGUUUGAUAUUAGAAUCGAUACUUAUAAUAAAUUGGUGGUGCAUUGUGUUUUAAGAGUUUUGAUGUAGCCUUAAAGGGACAGCUUUUAAGGCAAAAUAAUUUAAGCACUUUAGUUGUUUAAAAAAUAUAUUUGUUUUAAUAUAUAAACAGGUGUUUACUUUUGCGCCUUUAAGUAUUUUGAAAAAAGUAUAAUUUAAUUAUUCUAUUAAUAGAUUAAAAGUUUUUAAGAUGAAAAUAUAGUUAAAAUUAUAAGAGGAAUUUGGCAAAUAAAAAGUUUACAGUUGAUAAGUUUACUAAAAACUAAGUCAGUUGAUUAUCUAAUAACUGAUGGGGCCUGCUCUAUGUUUUAUAAAUGGCGGUUUAAGGCUUUAAUGUAGCGUAAUAAUUUGUCUAUUAAUUGUAGUCUAGUGAAAGGCUGAAUUAACUGGUUCUUUCUUUUUUAAUUUUUUAUAAAUUUCUUAAAGGUGAAAAUGCCUUUUUAAUUAUAAAAGAAAAAAAGUCCCUAGGUAGUUUAAGUUGAUUAGUUAAACUAGGAGGCUUUUACUGGGGCAGUAACAGUUUAUAAAUAAUUUCUGUGUUUAAUAUUUUUAAUUGUAAAUUUAUACUAACCCUAGGGUUAACAGCGCAAUUAACAGGGUGAGUUCAUAUUAAUCUGUUAGUUUACGACCUCGAUGUCGACUUAUAAUAAGUUUAAGUGCAGAAGCUUAAAUUAAAUGUUUGUUCACCAUAUAGUUUUUUACGUGAGUUGGGUUAAGAACGGGGUAACUUAGUUUGGAUUUUUUCUUUAAGUUAAUUUUUUAUUAGUACGAAAGGAAUUUAAAAUUAAUAUGAAAU
Molecule: ribosomal RNA, 1031 nt
Filed under: Botryllus gaiae
Lineage: Eukaryota; Metazoa; Chordata; Ascidiacea; Stolidobranchia; Styelidae
Description: large ribosomal RNA
Rfam family: Archaeal large subunit ribosomal RNA (bases 683-984)
Source: RNAcentral